RNAcentral lists this ribosomal RNA (766 nucleotides) under uncultured bacterium. RNAcentral describes it as "bacterial SSU rRNA". It matches the Rfam family "Bacterial small subunit ribosomal RNA", at positions 713 to 1482 of the family's 1533-position model. The record is from RNAcentral.
UGGCGAAGGCAGGUCUCUGGGCCAAUACUGACACUGAGGAGCGAAAGCGUGGGGAGCGAACAGGAUUAGAUACCCUGGUAGUCCACGCCGUAAACGGUGGGCGCUAGUUGUGCGAACCUUCCACGGUUUGUGCGACGCAGCUAACGCAUUAAGCGCCCCGCCUGGGGAGUACGAUCGCAAGAUUAAAACUCAAAGGAAUUGACGGGGCCCCGCACAAGCAGCGGAGCAUGCGGCUUAAUUCGACGCAACGCGAAGAACCUUACCAAGGCUUGACAUAUACAGGAAUACGGCAGAAAUGCUAGCGGUUAAACUCUGUAUACAGGUGGUGCAUGGUUGUCGUCAGCUCGCGUCGUGAGAUGUUGGGUUAAGUCCCGCAACGAGCGCAACCCUCGUUCUGUGUUGCCAGCAUUUAGUUGGGGACUCACAGGAGACUGCCGGGGUUAACUCGGAGGAAGGUGGGGAUGACGUCAAAUCAUCAUGCCCCUUAUGUCUUGGGCUGCACGCAUGCUACAAUGGCUGGUACAAAGGGCUGCAAUACUGCAAAGUGGAGCGAAUCCCAAAAAGCCAGUCUCAGUUCGGAUUGGGGUCUGCAACUCGACCCCAUGAAGUCGGAGUUGCUAGUAAUCGUAGAUCAGCAACACUACGGUGAAUACGUUCCCGGGGCUUGUACACACCGCCCGUCACAUCACGAAAGUCGGUAACACCCGAAGUCAGUGGCCCAACCGCAAGGAGGGAGCUGCCGAAGGUGGGAUCGGUGAUUGGGAUG